This 253-nucleotide ribosomal RNA is filed under the name uncultured bacterium. RNAcentral describes it as "partial 16S ribosomal RNA". It matches the Rfam family "Bacterial small subunit ribosomal RNA", at positions 524 to 776 of the family's 1533-position model. The record is from RNAcentral.
UACGGGGGGGGUGAGCGUUGUUCGGAAUUACUGGGCGUAAAGGGCUCGUAGGCGGCCAACUAAGUCAUACGUGAAAUCCCUCAGCUUAACUGGGGAACUGCGUGUGAUACUGGAUGGCUUGGAUUUGGGAGAGGGAUGCGGAAUUCCAGGUGUAGCGGUGAAAUGCGUAGAUAUCUGGAGGAACACCGGUGGCGAAGGCGGCAUCCUGGACCAAUAUUGACGCUGAGGAGCGAAAGCCAGGGGAGCAAACGGG